RNAcentral lists this transfer RNA (62 nucleotides) under Cricetulus griseus (Chinese hamster). It matches the Rfam family "tRNA", at positions 6 to 65 of the family's 71-position model. Rfam says of the family: Transfer RNA (tRNA) molecules are approximately 80 nucleotides in length. Lineage: Eukaryota; Metazoa; Chordata; Mammalia; Rodentia; Cricetidae. The record is from Rfam by way of RNAcentral.
UGUAGCCCAGUUGGUAGAGCAUUUGCCUAGUAUGCAAGAAGGUCUGGGCUCCAUUCCCAGCA